Molecule: ribosomal RNA, 426 nt
Filed under: uncultured bacterium
Lineage: Bacteria
Description: bacterial SSU rRNA
Rfam family: Bacterial small subunit ribosomal RNA
Source: RNAcentral
GGGUAACCUGCCCAUAAGGAGGGGGAUAACAUCCGGGAAACGGGGUGCUAAUACCGCAUAGUUUUUCUUGAUCGCAUGAUCGGGAAAGGAAAGACGGCCUUUUGUGCUGUCGCUUAUGGAUGGACCCGCGGCGUAUUAGUUAGUUGGUGAGGUAAUGGCUCACCAAGACGAUGAUACGUAGCCGACCUGAGAGGGUGAUCGGCCACAUUGGGACUGAGACACCGGCCCAAACUCCGUACGGGAGGCAGCAGGUAGGGAAUCUUCCGCAAUGGACGAAGUCUGACGGAGCAACGCCGCGUGAGUGAAGAAGGGUUUUUUCCGGAUCGUAAAACUCUGUUGUCAGAGAAGAACAAGUUGGAGAGUAACUGCUCCAGCCUUGACGGUAUCUGACCAGAAAGCCACGGCUAACUACGUGCCAGCCGCUGC